RNAcentral lists this ribosomal RNA (252 nucleotides) under uncultured bacterium. RNAcentral describes it as "partial 16S ribosomal RNA". It matches the Rfam family "Bacterial small subunit ribosomal RNA", at positions 524 to 775 of the family's 1533-position model. The record is from RNAcentral.
UACGGAGGGUGCUAGCGUUGUUCGGAAUCACUGGGCGUAAAGGGCUCGUAGGCGGCCAACUAAGUCGGACGUGAAAUCCCUCAGCUUAACUGGGGAACUGCGUCCGAUACUGGAUGGCUUGGAUUUGGGAGAGGGAUGCGGAAUUCCAGGUGUAGCGGUGAAAUGCGUAGAGAUCCGGAGGAAGACCGGUGGCGAAGGCGGCCUGCUGGGCAGUUACUGACACUGAGGCGCGACAGCGUGGGGAGCAACAGG